UACGUAGGGGGCGAGCGUUGUCCGGAUUUACUGGGCGUAAAGCGCGUGUAGGCGGCCGGAUAAGUUGGGUGUGAAAGCCCGGGGCUCAACCCCGGGACGCCGCCCAAGACUGUUUGGCUUGAGGACGGAAGAGGGGCGUGGAAUUCCAGGUGUAGCGGUGAAAUGCGUAGAGAUCUGGAGGAACACCCGUGGCGAAGGCGGCGCCCUGGUCCGUUUCUGACGCUGAGACGCGAAAGCGCGGGGAGCGAACGGG
RNAcentral lists this ribosomal RNA (253 nucleotides) under uncultured prokaryote. RNAcentral's name for it is "partial 16S ribosomal RNA". It matches the Rfam family "Bacterial small subunit ribosomal RNA", at positions 524 to 776 of the family's 1533-position model. The record is from RNAcentral.